RNAcentral lists this ribosomal RNA (253 nucleotides) under uncultured bacterium. RNAcentral's name for it is "partial 16S ribosomal RNA". It matches the Rfam family "Bacterial small subunit ribosomal RNA", at positions 524 to 776 of the family's 1533-position model. The record is from RNAcentral.
UACGUAGGAUGCAAGCGUUGUCCGGAUUUAUUGGGCGUAAAGAGCGUGUAGGCGGCCAGACAGGUCCGUUGUGAAAACUCGAGGCUCAACCUCGAGACGCCGAUGGAAACCGUCUGGCUAGAGUCCGGAAGAGGAGAGUGGAAUUCCUGGUGUAGCGGUGAAAUGCGCAGAUAUCAGGAAGAACACCAAUGGCGAAGGCAGCUCGCUGGGACGGUACUGACGCUGAGGCGCGAAAGCGUGGGGAGCAAACAGG